Gopherus flavomarginatus (Mexican gopher tortoise) is the source of this 2514-nucleotide RNA transcript. It is a transcript of the gene named tubulin epsilon and delta complex 2, with no coding region annotated. Lineage: Eukaryota; Metazoa; Chordata; Testudines; Testudinidae. The record is from RefSeq and is a predicted model, not a curated record. The transcript has 11 exons.
GCGGCAGUUUGCAGGAAGCAGCGGGGAGCGAAAGGGGGUCCGGCGCCUGCCCCCGCCGCAGCAUGGUGCCGGCCGGCCGUGCCCGCAGGCUGGUUUCCAUUCUCAGUCAGGCCCUGGAAGACUGUGCUGAGCAAAAGAAGAAGCUAGAGGACAAUCUAACCCUGUGUCGGGCCCUUCUUGGAGACUGGAAAGUGCAAACUCCUGAGAGUCCAAAGCCAGAGAAUGGUCCAAAGAGUGACCAAGAAAGUGAGCCUUCACCUAAGGAACUGGAGCAGCUGGAGCUGCUGAACAGAGCCCUGGAGAGAGCAUUAAGAGUCCGGAAAAGCACCCUGCGAAAUCCUUUGGAGGCCCUAGGAGCUGCAGAAGGAAAGAAGGGAACAGAGAAGAAACCUGCUACCAGUGCUGUUAGAAUGCAGCAGGCACCCUUGUCUAAAGAGAGUGUCCCUAAGACAAUCAAGGUGACAUCUGUGUGCAAAAAGGCUUCCUCUUCCAAAAAGCUCCCAGCCUAUAUGCUGAAAGCUCCCUACAGGACUGAUCCUGUGAAAGCACCAACCAGUCACAGCUCCAGGGCUCCAAAGGUGGCUGGGAAGGGCUCGACUAAAGGGUCUGCCCUCCAACAAGUGAGGAAAACUGUGCCAGCUGCCAGUGUUAUUCAGCAAGGGUUCUGUGCUGCUGCAGAACCACCUGGCUCACCCAGCUCUCCCCUGCACCAGCAGCAGAGCUCUUCUUCCUUUGGAGGCUCUGCUAGUGGCGAAAACUCAGCAGCUGUCAUCCUACAGGGAGUCGAUCCAGAGAAUGAUUGUCGUGGUUCCUUGGCAGAGUCUCCAGUGACACAGAGACAUACAGCAGGAGAUAUCCCUGUGGGGAGCACCAUGGCCCGCACAUUCACUCUCCAGGAAAAGGGGUCUUUGUUGAAGCUACCGCUUCCCUAUAGGAAAGCCUAUUCCAGGAACUCCAGACUGUGGGAGAAGUGUCAUCUGUGCCAAAGCAGCUCAGCCACAGCUGCUGCAAGGAGUUGCUUUCUAGAGAGAAUGCAGGCGACCUUUUGUUCCUCUGCACCAGCUUUUAGUCCUGCAGAGAUAGAAGAGGAGGUGAUGGUCCUACGUGAUGCACAUUCUCUCCUGAGCCAGUACAUGGAAGCUGAGACCACAGGCCACCCAACGUGGGAGAGAGAGUAUGAAUGUCUCCUGACCCUGGAAGGCCUGCAAGACACAGCAUCCCAGUGUCUGCACAAGCUACAGCUGCUGCAAGCAGCUGCGGAGUCCCAGGUCGUGGUACACCCGACAGACUGUACUCACUGUGUGGGGACCUCCCCUGCAGAUUGUGCUCCACUCAGAGGACGAAGAUGUGGAGACCCGGGUGUCCUGGCAACACCUCUCCUUUUUUACUCCAGCUUCCAGGAGCUGAGGGACAUGGCUGCCUUGAAACUGCAGGUGCUGAUGCUGCGCCAGCAAAUUGACAUACAGAAGGUCUUGAUAGCUGAGCUUCUCCCCAUUCUGGAAUCCAGGCUCCCUCAUGAUGAUUCUCCAUCUCAUCUGUACCGCUCAGUUUACACCCAACUCUGUGAAGGAGGCGAGCGGUUCCCUGUGCUGAUGAAUGAUGAGCUGCCAGACUGACCCUGAAUCCAGCCUGCUGUCCUGCCGGCCGUCACCACGCCCAGAGAGAGAGCCAAGAAAUAAACUUUUCCUAUCAUCAUCUCUACCUGAUAGCUGAGGGGUUCUGAAGACAAGGGCUUUGAAGUACCACUACCCUGGGGCUUACCAUCCAACAGGUUACAUGAAUAGUGCAGUCCUUUACCUGGAUCACCUCCAACUGUGAUCCUGUCUGAUCCACCAAGCUAAGAAGGGCUGAGCCACAUGGGUGCUUAGAUGGGAGAUGUCCAUGGAAAACCCAGGUGCUGCAGGAAGUAGUGCUGCUGGAAUGGAUUGCUAGGUGGUGCUCUUCCCUCUCAGUACUGAACCAGUACUGUGUGAUGCUGGAGGAGCUGUCUUUCAGAGACCAACCUAGUGUCUGGUCUAGUCCUAUGGCACUUGUCAUAAGAGUAGUAGUUUUGACCCUGGUGUCCUGGCCAAAUUCCAACAUGGGUAAUUACAUUCUACCUCCCUAGCUUCCCCUUGUAUUUUGAAUCAUAUGAUAUUCUUUCCUUCCUGUCUCUAAACUGAGUGGUGCUGCUGUGCACUGAUUAACAGUAACACUCUAGCAAAGGGUGACAUGUCUCUGGUUGUAAGCGCUUUGUGAUCUAAUUGGAUGAAAGGAGCUGCUGUGGACAUUGUAGCACUAUCUUCGCUUCUUAGAUGUCACCAGCUCUUGUUAGUUUAGGGCACAUCAUAACAGAACAUAAUCUGUUUGCUGUAGGGUGUUUUCAGUCCCAAGAGAAUGACUGACAGCAGUGUCUUCUCCAACAUUAAGAAACUUUGGGCAAAAUGUGUAUGUUGAAUCCGCCCUUCCUAAGGCCUUUUUACCCAUUGCUGCUGUAGUCAAAAUUCACUAAAAAUCAGAAUUUUGUGUGUUAUA